RNAcentral lists this transfer RNA (72 nucleotides) under Camelus bactrianus (Bactrian camel). It matches the Rfam family "tRNA". Rfam says of the family: Transfer RNA (tRNA) molecules are approximately 80 nucleotides in length. Their secondary structure includes four short double-helical elements and three loops (D, anti-codon, and T loops). Lineage: Eukaryota; Metazoa; Chordata; Mammalia; Artiodactyla; Camelidae. The record is from Rfam by way of RNAcentral. RNAcentral also lists the same sequence under 2 other names.
AGAGUAAUAGUUUAGCGGGAACAUGUGUACUUAGCAUACACAAGGUCCUGGGUUCAAUCCCCAGUACCUCCA